RNAcentral lists this long non-coding RNA (649 nucleotides) under Aedes aegypti (yellow fever mosquito). Its description in RNAcentral is "uncharacterized LOC125446245 (LOC125446245)". Lineage: Eukaryota; Metazoa; Arthropoda; Insecta; Diptera; Culicidae. The record is from RNAcentral.
AUGGCAUUCUCAUUUCAAGGAGUUUCUGAGAAGGAUUCAAAGCGAAAAUCUACCACCAGUUCUGUGUCAUAAUGUUCAAAUUACUGAUAAUCACCAGCCUGAUGGCCUACGCCUCCGCAACACCAAUUGCAACUUUCCUGACUCCAGCUGGCCCAAUUGCAUACUCCCCAGGCACUAGCAAUUACGUUGCUCCGGAAUCGCAAACCCGCGUAGUACAAUUUGCCUACCCAUCGUUGGCGACAGCAGAAAUCGCAUCUCAAUCGGAUGGUAUCAGCAGGAUAACGGAAUACGAGGCAACCCCACUGGUCCCGGUCUUGGCUCCUUCAAGAUACUACGCAGUACUACCAUCGAUAGCAGCGGCGGCGACGUCUUACUAUUGACGUUAAAGGUCGAGACACAAUGCAGAAGAUAGGUCUAAGAUAGCUUUUCCCAUAACGUCUCGAUGGGCAUUGCGUUCGUGCUUUACCCAUGGGAAUAAAGAGGAAGUUGAACUAGGACAAUGCAAGCGACUGACCUGACGGACUGUUAAUGAAUGCAGACAAGAAUGCGACACUCAGGACGAAUAAGUGGGUUUCUUUGUAAGAGAAAAAUGCAAUUUACCAGGCGAUGAAUAAAGUAUGAUAAAAACAUAUUUGACAUGGUUUUCACC